AUUGAACGCUGGCGGCAGGCCUAACACAUGCAAGUCGAACGCGAAAGUCCUGGAUGAGUAGAGUGGCGGACGGGUGAGUGACGCGUAGGAAUCUACCUAGUAGUGGGGGAUAACUUGGGGAAACUCAAGCUAAUACCGCAUACGCCCCAAGGGGGAAAGCGGAGGAUCUUCGGACUUCGUGCUAUUAGAUGAGCCCUGCGUAAAGAUUAGCUAGUUGGUAGGGUAAAGGCCUACCAAGGCGACGAUCUUUAGCUGUUCUGAGAGGAUGAUCAGCCACACUGGGACUGAGACACGGCCCAGACUCCUACGGGAGGCAGCAGUGGGGAAUAUUGGACAAU
This 338-nucleotide ribosomal RNA is filed under the name uncultured bacterium. RNAcentral's name for it is "bacterial SSU rRNA". It matches the Rfam family "Bacterial small subunit ribosomal RNA", at positions 30 to 372 of the family's 1533-position model. The record is from RNAcentral.